This 587-nucleotide ribosomal RNA is filed under the name uncultured bacterium. RNAcentral describes it as "bacterial SSU rRNA". It matches the Rfam family "Bacterial small subunit ribosomal RNA", at positions 897 to 1505 of the family's 1533-position model. The record is from RNAcentral.
AAACUCAAAGAUUGACGGGGCCCGCACAGCGAGACAUGUGUUUAUUCGAUGAUACGCGAGACCUUACCCGGGCUUGAAAUGUACCUGACCGUCCUUGAAAGGGGACUUCUAGCAAUAGCAGGUAUGUAGGUGCUGCAUGGUGUCGUCAGCUCGUGCCGUGAGGUGUCGGCUUAAGUGCCAUAACGAGCGCAACCCACAUUAUUAGUUACUAACAGGUUAAGCUGAGGACUCUAAUAAGACUGCCGUCGUAAGAUGCGAGGAAGGUGUGGAUGACGUCAAAUCAGCACGGCCCUUACGUCCGGGGCGACACACGUGUUACAAUGGGAGGUACAAAGGGCUGCUACCUGGUGACAGGAUGCUAAUCCCCAAAGCCUCUCCCAGUUCGGAUCGGAGUCUGCAACUCGACUCCGUGAAGCUGGAUUCGCUAGUAAUCGCGCAUCAGCCAUGGCGCGGUGAAUACGUUCCCGGGCCUUGUACACACCGCCCGUCAAGCCAUGGGAGCCGGGGGUAUCUGAAGUGCGUAACCGCAAGGAGCGUCCUAGGGUAAAACUGGUGACUGGGGCUAAGUCGUAACAAGGUAACCUAAU